AAGUCGUAACAAGGUCUCCGUAGGUGAACCUGCGGAGGGAUCAUUAUUGAAUGGUCUUUGACCUUCUACCCCUCAAACCUGUGGAAGCAAAAAAUGUGCUUCGGCGUCCUCCUUUGGGCGCCGCUUUUAUGCAUAAAUCUGUGUGUCGUCUGAAUCAUACACAAGAAUCAAAACUUUCAACAACGGAUCUCUUGGUUCUGGCAUCGAUGAAGAACGCAGCGAAAUGCGAUAAGUAAUGUGAAUUGCAGAAUUCAGUGAAUCAUCGAAUCUUUGAACGCACAUUGCACCCUUGAGUAUUCUCAGGGGUAUGCCUGUUCGAGCGUCAUUGCAACCCUCAAGCACUGCUUGGUAUUGGAUGCCAUCAACUGUGGUGCAUCUCAAAAGUAUUAGUGGCAGCGUUCAGCUUCUAGUGUAGUAAUUUCUCGCUCUGGAGUUUUGAGUGCCUGUCUGCUAGAACCCCUAAUUUUUAAAAGGUUGACCUCGGAUCAGGUAGGGAUACCCGCUGAACUUAA
Molecule: ribosomal RNA, 512 nt
Filed under: uncultured fungus
Lineage: Eukaryota; Fungi
Description: eukaryotic LSU rRNA
Rfam family: 5.8S ribosomal RNA (bases 172-325)
Source: RNAcentral